AAAAACAUUGCUUCUUGAACACUAAUAAGAAGUAAUUCCUGCCCAGUGACUCUAGUUCAACGGCCGCGGUAUCCUAACCGUGCAAAGGUAGCAUAAUCACUUGCCCAUUAAUUGUGGGCUAGAAUGAACGGACUAACGAAAUAAGAACUGUCUCUGUAAGCCAUAUAAAAAUUAAUCUCUAACUGGAAGAGUGUUAGAUAUCCUUGAAGGACAAGAAGACCCUAUAGAGCUUUAUUUACUACAGUAAUAAUCAACUUUAAAAAAUUCGGUUGGGGCGACCUGGGAAAAUAAUAAACAUCCAUCAGAUUUAUGAUUAAUAUAUCUUCCUACUGACCCUUUAUAAAGAUCAACAAAUCAAGCUACCUUAGGGAUAACAGGCUAAUCCCGUUAAAGAGUCCUUAUUAAUAACGGGGUUUGGCACCUCGAUGUUGGCUUAGGGAAUCCAUGCGGCGCAAAAGUCGCAUAAUGAUGGUUUGUUCAACCAAUAACUCCCUAC
Molecule: ribosomal RNA, 496 nt
Filed under: Dendrobaena platyura
Lineage: Eukaryota; Metazoa; Annelida; Clitellata; Crassiclitellata; Lumbricidae
Description: partial 16S ribosomal RNA
Rfam family: Bacterial large subunit ribosomal RNA
Source: RNAcentral